GAACGCUGGCGGAAUGCUUUACACAUGCAAGUCGAACGGCAGCACGGGAGCAAUCCUGGUGGCGAGUGGCGAACGGGUGAGUAAUAUAUCGGAACGUGCCCGGUCGUGGGGGAUAACGUAGCGAAAGCUACGCUAAUACCGCAUACGAUCUACGGAUGAAAGCGGGGGAUCGCAAGACCUCGCGCGAUUGGAGCGGCCGAUAUCAGAUUAGGUAGUUGGUGAGGUAAAGGCUCACCAAGCCGACGAUCUGUAGCUGGUCUGAGAGGACGACCAGCCACACUGGGACUGAGACACGGCCCAGACUCCUACGGGAGGCAGCAGUGGGGAAUUUUGGACAAUGGGCGCAAGCCUGAUCCAGCAAUGCCGCGUGCAGGAUGAAGGCCUUCGGGUUGUAAACUGCUUUGUACGGAACGAAACGGUGAGCUCUAAUACAGUUUGCUAAUGACGGUACCGUAAGAAUAAGCACCGGCUAACUACGUG
Molecule: ribosomal RNA, 480 nt
Filed under: uncultured bacterium
Lineage: Bacteria
Description: bacterial SSU rRNA
Rfam family: Bacterial small subunit ribosomal RNA
Source: RNAcentral